AGACACAUGGUCUAAUGGCUAUAAUAUCUCGCUCACACCGAGAUGGUUCUGAGUUCGAUCCUCAAUGUGGUUA
This 73-nucleotide transfer RNA is filed under the name Blumeria graminis f. sp. tritici JIW2. Its description in RNAcentral is "tRNA-Val (CAC) (tRNA-Val-CAC-4-1)". Lineage: Eukaryota; Fungi; Ascomycota; Leotiomycetes; Helotiales; Erysiphaceae. The record is from RNAcentral.